This 642-nucleotide ribosomal RNA is filed under the name fungal endophyte. RNAcentral describes it as "eukaryotic LSU rRNA". The stretch from base 192 to 345 matches the Rfam family "5.8S ribosomal RNA". The record is from RNAcentral. Lineage: Eukaryota; Fungi.
GCGGAGGGAUCAUUAAAGAGUUCUAUAACUCCCAAACCCAUGUGAACAUACCUAACGUUGCCUCGGCAGGUCGCACCUACCUUGUAGCACCCUACCCUGUAGGGCCUACCCGGGAGGUGCGGGUAAGCCUGCCGGCGGCCCACCAAACUCUGUUUGAUAUUGAAUUCUGAACCUAUAACUAAAUAAGUUAAAACUUUCAACAACGGAUCUCUUGGUUCUGGCAUCGAUGAAGAACGCAGCGAAAUGCGAUAAGUAAUGUGAAUUGCAGAAUUCAGUGAAUCAUCGAAUCUUUGAACGCAUAUUGCGCCCAUUAGUAUUCUAGUGGGCAGGACCGUUCGAGCGUCAUUUCAACCCUUAAGCCUUCGUUGCUUAGUGUUGGGAGCCUACGGCAACGUAGCUCCUCAAAGUUAGUGGCGGAGUUGGUUCACACUCUAGACGUAGUAAUUUUUUAUCUCGCCUAUUAGUUGGACUAAUCCCCUGCCGUAAAACCCCCAAUUUAUCAAGGUUGACCUCGAAUCGGUUCAGACAAACUCGCUAAAUUGAAGCAUCUUAGUCAGCGAAGGAAAAGAAACCAACAGGGAUUGCCCUAGUAACGGCGAGUGAAGCGGCAACAGCUCAAAUUUGAAAUCUGGCCCUCGGGUC